This 442-nucleotide ribosomal RNA is filed under the name uncultured Desulfovibrionaceae bacterium. RNAcentral's name for it is "bacterial SSU rRNA". It matches the Rfam family "Bacterial small subunit ribosomal RNA", at positions 957 to 1396 of the family's 1533-position model. The record is from RNAcentral. Lineage: Bacteria; Pseudomonadati; Thermodesulfobacteriota; Desulfovibrionia; Desulfovibrionales; Desulfovibrionaceae.
CAACGCGAAGAACCUUACCCAGGCUUGACAUCCGGGGGACCCUCCUGAAACGGAGGGGUGCUCUUCGGAGAACCCCGAGACAGGUGCUGCAUGGCUGUCGUCAGCUCGUGCCGUGAGAUGUUGGGUUAAGUCCCGCAACGAGCGCAACCCCUGUUCACAGUUGCCAUCAGGUAAAGCUGGGCACUCUGUGGAGACUGCCCGGGUCAACCGGGAGGAAGGUGGGGACGACGUCAAGUCAUCAUGGCCCUUACGCCUGGGGCUACACACGUACUACAAUGGCGCGCACAAAGGGCAGCAAGACCGCGAGGUGGAGCCAAUCCCAAAAAACGCGUCUCAGUCCGGAUUGCAGUCUGCAACUCGACUGCAUGAAGUCGGAAUCGCUAGUAAUUCUGGAUCAGCAUGCCAGGGUGAAUGCGUUCCCGGGCCUUGUACACACCGCCCG